RNAcentral lists this ribosomal RNA (279 nucleotides) under uncultured Actinomycetales bacterium. RNAcentral's name for it is "partial 16S ribosomal RNA". It matches the Rfam family "Bacterial small subunit ribosomal RNA", at positions 504 to 782 of the family's 1533-position model. The record is from RNAcentral. Lineage: Bacteria; Bacillati; Actinomycetota; Actinomycetes; Actinomycetales.
UGUGCCAGCCGCCGCGGUAAUACGUAGGGCGCAAGCGUUGUCCGGAAUUAUUGGGCGUAAAGAGCUCGUAGGCGGUUUGUCGCGUCUGCUGUGAAAACCUGAGGCUCAACCUCGGGCUUGCAGUGGGUACGGGCAGACUAGAGUGCGGUAGGGGUGACUGGAAUUCCUGGUGUAGCGGUGGAAUGCGCAGAUAUCAGGAGGAACACCGAUGGCGAAGGCAGGUCACUGGGCCGCAACUGACGCUGAGGAGCGAAAGCAUGGGGAGCGAACAGGAUUAGA